CGCGUCGCCGGAGUCCACCGCCGCUGGCAGCCAGAGUGCUCCAUCGCGGGUCGUCGGAAUCCGUCGUUGCCCAAGAACUAUCGGUGCACUGCCCAAUUCCUCCAGGUCGACUACCCAAAUUUCUGCAGGUGGCUUCCCUGCCACAGUGGUUGCCCUGCUGCAGCCUGACGAUGAAAUUAUUCUAAACUGGGUGCGUACCUUUUCUGAACUGAAGCUGGUGCGCAUCUCUGUCGUCUGGCACAUACCCUGCUCUGUUGGUGUGCCUCGUGCUCUUGUGCAGGUUCUACUGCUUGCUGCCACCACCCAUGGUUUGCAGUUGGCCUCCAUUGACUCAUUAGCUGCUGGAACCUCUCUCUUUUCUGGAGGACUUGAGCCUAGCACCUGUUGCUGUGUGGUUUUUCCCCCGGUUAGCUGCGUG
Lolium rigidum is the source of this 418-nucleotide long non-coding RNA. RefSeq lists it as uncharacterized. The transcript is spliced from 3 exons. Lineage: Eukaryota; Viridiplantae; Streptophyta; Magnoliopsida; Poales; Poaceae. The record is from RefSeq and is a predicted model, not a curated record.